CAUCAUUUACUCAUCCUCUUGCCGUUCCAAACCUGAAUGACUUUCUUUCUUCUGUUCUGUGGAACACAAAAUGGAUAUUUUGAAUAAUGUACUAGUCACUGUUUUUACGGAUAAGAUGGAUAAGAACUGAUCAAAGGAAACUAAAGGCCUACUUUGCAGUGCUGAUAAGCUCUCUUUAAGCACAAGAACUAUGUUCAUUUUUGCUGUUUAGAAAGGAGAACAUCUGUUUUAGUUAGUUAAUGUUUUCGGACCACAGAGGAUGUGGUAACGGUUUCAGACACUGUUAUUUAACCACCACAGAAUGUGGCAGGAAACGAUAGCGCUUCGCUGAUGGCAACAAAGAAAUUUUGAGUCAUGAGAGAUCCGAAGUCCAUACACAAGAUCUUCUGGAUCAUGGAAUUUCUGCCUUUCGCUUAAAAUAUAUUUAUGUGUUCUGUUAUAAGGGAGAAAACAAACUUUGCAGGGUCUUCAUGCUCAGUUAUGUGGUACCUGUCCAUAGUAUUUACCUUCACAGUAUAUGGAACCCAUGGUUGUGUGAUAACCAGUCCAGACCAGAAGGCUAAUGCUGGGACAGAUGUCCAUUUGUCGUGUAAUUUCUGGCAAUGUCCUGGACCUCUGGACAUCAUGUCUCUUAGUGUGGAGUGGGAAUUCAAGGAUAUCUCCUCUGAGCCAAAAAUAAUCCUCUACUACAUCAGAAAUCGAACUGUACCACUUCCUGGUGUGUUUUUUCAGGGAGAUGUCGAAUUAGGGAGUUUUGAUAUACAUCUCCCGUCUGUGACCCAUGAGAACAGUGGAACUUAUUUAUGUAGAUUACGUCUCAAUGGCAUUUUUCACAAGAACCAAACACACCUUAUUGUGCAAUCAGCACUGACCAGGAGAAACAAUCCAGGUGUAAAUCAUCUGCAGAAACGUCCUCCCUGGUUGCUGCCCCUGGCCUCAGUGGCAUCAGUGGCUGGGUUUGUGUUACUAAUUGGUACAGUUUUUUGGGGGAGGAAAGCUUACACGUCAACCCAGAGAGAAAACAACUCAAAGCAAAAUAUGGAAGAGGCUAAAACCAGCACUGAUGCUGAAGACAAGGGAAUUAUAUAUAAGGUGGGAUUCAGCAUGCCUGACCUCGCAGACGUGAACAGUCCACCUAGCAGUCCAGAUAACAUCUAUGUUACCAUGCAUGGUUUGCCAUUCGCACCAGAUGUUCCUGCCACAGCUGGACGCAACAGACGUCUUCCCUCUGAUUGGCAGCUGAAGGAUGAGGAACCCGUAUUUGUCCGCUGAUACCAAGAUUUAUUAGUCAGAUCAUGCCACUUGAAAGAUGAGACACAGAAUAAGUGAUUAUUUAAAUUAGUGAGAGUAAGUAUUGUCAGAUAUGCAUUAUAUAGUCCCAAAACAGACUGUUUUGUGUAUUAUUUUUCAAUACUCACCAGCUGUACAUCACUGUACAUUAUCCCUCAUAAUAAAUCUGUUAUUUCCUCAUGCACCUCUUUCAUCAUCUACCAGAUGUCAACAGUGGUCAAUAUAGUUUAGUUACUGCACUUCUUGUGAGCUUCAGCCCUCGACUUUUUCCUAUCUUCUCAAUGACUUCUCAUCAGCAUGAAAUUGCCAAUUCUUCUAACUGUCUCUCUGUCUCUGAAGAGGCAAACAAAAUUGCCCUGCAGUGGAGAAGUGGUUUUAGCAUUACACACUUAAUUAUUCAUGCCAACUGUCCUUUGAGAUUUAAGGAAUCACAGAUCACGAGUUUUGUAAAUCACAAUAAACUAGUUGCUAACCAUUACUGGCAUCAAGGCACACCCUCAAUGAAUGUGCUCUCAUUUCACUAAUCAGAUAAAUAGGCUACACUGCCUACUGUAUAUGGCUAUGUAUAUCUUUAAUAAUCAUCAUCGUAUUUUUCGGCACCAUUCUCAUCCCUUGUGUGCAUUUCCACCUCCUGCUCAUCUCUAGUGCACUUUGAUCUCCAUUAGUGAGGAGAUGAGGAGAGGUUGUCCAACUGCAAGCUAGAGCCUUAUUAUUUGGUUUUGCGUCAACGGCCGUUUGGAUUUUCUUAGGCUGAUUUCUGAUUUUUCUCAAAUUAUGUGACACGUGUAAUAUAAAGAUGCAUUCAGAUUUUUUUUUUUUUUUAAAUCAUGUAAAACUGAUUCAUAUCAUAUUUUAUUUGCUGCUAUUAUAGUAUAUUGUAACAUGGUUCAACUGAACCCGACAAACAACAAUCCACAACCAUACUAUCAACCAGUUUUCCUUCUACAGACACUGCCAGCCAUAUCAUAGCACAAAAUAAAAACAUUUUACGUGUUUUUUUUAGUAUAAUUGAAACGAAAAAAAUAGAUCUCAAAAGCUUUUCUGUUUUUAUUGUCCGCUACGUUUAUUGUCAUCGACCAAAAUGCCUAUUUUAUUGCAUUUUGGGAAAACGCAGUGGGCGUCUUCUUUGAAAUUAUCCUGCGUUGCAUUGAUGGUAUUUCUGGCCUGUCCAGUGAAUUCCAUGGAUGUGCUGGUGCCACCACAGAUCCUCACUCUCAAUGGGACUGAUGUCAGAAUCCCCUGUGCAUUCACUUCAUGCUACAAACUGGACCCCAGCAAGUUUGCCAUGAACUGGACCUAUCAGGAGACAAGCAACAGUACAGAAGAAAUUUUCAUGACCUAUAAGAACAAGAUAACACCCUUGAAGUCGACCCGAUUUGGAGAUCGAGUCAUAUUUUCUGGAAACCUGGAUAAGAACGACCUGAGCAUCACUAUCUCAAAUGUGCAGUUGACAGACGAGGGCAUCUACAACUGCUAUGUGCGCAACCCUCCAGACCGCAUUCGGGGCCACGGCAUCAUUCAGGUCUUCGUCCCGACUGAAUUGCCGCCACCAAGAGAUUCGACCAUUGCUGUUGCCAUUGGGGCAUCUGUGGGGGGAAUUCUAGCUUUGCUCAUUCUGUCCAUGGUAGUGGUGAAGUGUAUUCGCAGACAUAAGAACCAGGAGCUGAUCUCAGAUGAGCAGAAGAUGGAGGAAGAGGGCAAAGCAGAUGGAGAAGGAGGCACAGAAGAAGCAACAAAAAAUUUAAGCCUCCUGCCUGAAGAUAUCUAAGACCUUGUUUGACUCUUCAUCCUAUAACGGUCUCAUUCAACAUUCCUCGGUUUUCUCAUGUAGCAGUAGCAUGUCAUAAAGGAAGAUCUCCACCACAGUGCCAUGGUGUCCAGUUACCAGUGAGAAAUCACAAAGGGUUUCAAACUGCCUCUUCCACUCAAUACAACAGGUUAAGGUGAUAACUUCCUGCAGAACUCUUCGUUUAGACCACCCUUUUUUCAAAGUCAAGUAAUGUAUUUUUUUUUCUUCUGCCACUAUUAGCACUAUUAAUAUCAGCCAUCCAGUAUUUCUGCUGAGAAUUUUCUAAAGAGAUGAAUUUUAAAUUAUACAAGGUCCUCUUACAACUGCCAAAGUGUUUUUACCCUUAUGGUGUUUAUACAUUUUAAGAGUUUCUUGAGAAAUCACUGCCCUCAACAACCUCUCAAGUGGAUGUAGAAACAUAACGUGUGUUUGUGUGUGCCUUCUCAUUGUGCCAGUUUGCUUCUGCUGGGUCUAGAAGUUUAUGUUCUUUUUACAGCAGACUAUUAGGCAGGACCAUGACUAUACAUCAGUGUUCAAAAUCUAUAAUUCGUUAGUGUACAGCACAUUGUACACCUCCAAAACAUGUACAAUCAAUGCAUGACAAUUUUCUUAUGCAUGAUACACAAUUUGCACAAAACAAAUCAUCAGUUUGCACAAGCAUCUGGCAUGUUCCACAAAUAGGGUAUAUUUUGCUGUUCCAUGACAUUUUUUUUAAAGUCUUAGAGGCAUUAAUCCUAUGUUGUGUUUUUGGACCUAUUAGAUAUUGCAUAUUUGUUAUCUAACAUGAAACUAAUUUAGCAUGAAAAGUGUUUUUUUUUUUUUGUGUUGGUUUGUUAAUUGGUAAUUUGGACUUCCACCUAAGAGGACUUGGUCUUCAUGACUAUCUAACAAUUAAAAUCACAGAAAAGCAUCAUAAUUUUAAAAGAUGAAAAGUAAAAGUGAGUGAAUUCUUAAUUUCUAAUUAAAUAAUUAAAUUAAAAUGCAUUUUGAGGCCCCAAAAAUAAGCUAGUUUGAAUGUUAAUAAUCUCUAUUUUCCCAAUUCUGAAUAGACAAAAGAUCAAACAAAUAUCAUACUGAGUGGCAGCUUAAUUUAUGCCAAAUUUGUUCCAAUUUGCAAAAAAAAAAAAAAAAAAAAGGAAUUUCAGCUAUUUUACACCCUAUUUAUGGAAAAUGCCAUUUCCAAAACAUUGCUUUCACACAUAAACAUCAUUUCAGGUGCAAUGAUUCGUUAAACAUGAUCUAUUUAUAGAUAAAAGCGAAACAACCUAUACACAAAUUUGAUUGCUAAUAUUAUAGAUUGUGUUUGACAUGUAUGUUGUGGUGUGUUAUUGAGAAUGUGUGAAUUUAUUUUACAUGAGUAUCUUAUUGAACGUAUAAGCUGUGAAAAUAAUUUUGUCAAUACUGAAUUUAUUAACCUCAUAAUCAAAUUUCACACAUAAUCAUAUAAUCUGUUCUGAAAGGCUAAAAUGGUUUUAAAUUGAGUAACAAGCAAAUGAAAGAUAACGGAUUAAUGCGCAUUUAAUGGAAAGAUUAAAAAAAUAAUCAAUUAUGCAUGACAUCAUAUCAUAUUUGUAUGCAUACAGAGGAAAUACAAAACUUUUUUUUUUUUUUUCAUGUGAUGGGAAUCCAUUUUGAUAGUGAAACACAGUGAUUGUGAACUUUCAGUGGACUCGUGGUAAUAGACUGCAGACUGUGUAGUAGAUUAUGUAGGGAAUGGGGCAGGUCCCCUACAUACCUUCUGCUAAAUCAAACAAUUUCAACAAUUUUCAGAAUAGCCUCAGUAUUAUUACAGCAUAUUUUGUGCUAUGGUCAGGAAAUGUGAGUAUUAAAUAGUUCUAUUUGAUUAAAAAAUAAAUAUAUCAAAAUAUAUAUAAUAUGUUUGUAUAUUGUAAUCUUCUAUGAUGUCGAAAAGUAGCAGUAUAUGUCUAAUUUAAAUAUUCUGUAUAUUUAAAUUGAAAAAAAAGACAGUAUCAUAGAGAUGUAUGCUCAUUUACAAAUGGUUUUGUUCUACAAAAUGUUCUGAUAUAAAACCUCAUACAAGAUAGACAGUAUUUGUAUGCAGACCAUAGGAGUAAAGUAUUCCAGCACUUAAUUCACCAUGUAUGAUUACUUAGUGUGCAUGCUGUAACACUGCAUUCUUGCUGCACAGGCCCAAAGCCUGGAGCCACAGUGAUACAUAGGCCAGGGAGCCUCACCCUCUGCUGGGCAAAGCCGACACCCACACUGGCUUCUGUUUACUCACACUUUAACUCACUCAGUCCCCUUCUGACUGGCUUAUUUUAUUAAUUUUUUAACUGACAUAUGUGUUAUGUUACACUUCCACAUCCUAUUGUACUCCAAUACAUAUUUAAUAAAUCAAAUUAUAUUGCUUGUUGUUAUAUGAAAAUGUACUUUGAAGGAUUGCUGUGAUACCUCUAAAAUGUUGCUCCAUUUUGACCUCAAAUUCAUUGUAGGGAAUGUAUCUAUUAUUAUUGUUCAUUUGAAUGUUUAAUUCAGUAAUGCUUUAUUGUAUUAUGAACCAAAACUGAGAUUUGCAUAUUGUGUAAUCAUAACUGUUAACUGUUAUUGCUAUGUAUUCAAUGAUAAUCAUGUAUUCAAUGACACUCAGUUACACAUGUACAUUGUAUUUUUACCACCGUGUUUUGCAUUAGAUAUUUGCAUAAUGUGAGCGACAUCAGGCAUCCACAAGAUGUUAAAAAAGGCUCCUAAAGGAUAUAAUAAAACCAUUAAGCUCAUAAUUUGAUUUGCUGCACAGCAGUUAACAUUAAGCCAGCUUCUGAAAUCCAGACUGAGGCUUAAUGAUUUUAUGGCUAGCGCUUUAGUGGUUGCCAUUCAUAGGUUUAGUUGCCAGGAAACAUGACUCCAAAUCCCUGAUUAUCUAGCCUGAUAUUAUACUGAAGGUGAAUUGUAUCAUCACAUAUAUAAUGCAACCAUGAUUGUACUGCCUUGAUGUUUUGUUUCUGUUUUGCAUUUGCCUUCAAGAUUUCAUUUGUACAUCAAGAUCAUUCAAACAUAACAUUUAUGUGGGCAUAAAAAAAUAACAGCAGUCCAGCGAGGUUGGUUGGAAUGGUUUGGGGACCAGUUUUUGCUUUAUUUUUUUCAUCAUGCAUGCCUCUGUUUAGUGUCUCGCUGAAGGUCUGACUCUGGCCUACUUUAAAUACAUACUGUAUACUUGCACUGCACCAUAACUAAGAGCUGCAUCACUGAUUGUUUUUUUUUAGUUUUGGUUUUGUCUUUUCA
Long non-coding RNA from Cyprinus carpio carpio, 6319 nucleotides. Lineage: Eukaryota; Metazoa; Chordata; Actinopteri; Cypriniformes; Cyprinidae. The record is from Ensembl.